This 855-nucleotide ribosomal RNA is filed under the name Triticum aestivum (bread wheat). RNAcentral describes it as "partial small subunit ribosomal RNA". Lineage: Eukaryota; Viridiplantae; Streptophyta; Magnoliopsida; Poales; Poaceae. The record is from RNAcentral.
AUGUCGACUACAUCAACAUGUGUGCUUUGCGGUGCCAGAGAUUCAUGGAGGCAUUCUUUCCUUGAGUGCCCGAUGGCAAGCAGCGUGUGGGCUCUAUCUGACGAUUCUCUUGUCGAAAAUAUGAGUCAGCAUGAUGGUGAGAAUGCAAGGGAAUGGAUUUUCGCACUGAAGGAUGCUCUCUCGCAUGAACAUUUUGUUCGUAUGACCGUUACCUUGUGGGCAGUGUGGGUUGCUAGAAGGAAAGCUAUAUAUGAAGAUAUCUUCCAGAGCCCGUCCUCAACACACUCUUUUAUUAACUCCUUCCUGGGCGAUCUUCAAGUGGUCAAGAACAUGAGCAGUACUGUGGUGCAGGCCAGAACGGCGCGACCGACUCAGUGGCUGCAGCCGCUGUUGGGCACAUCCAAAAUAAAUGUUGAUGCGGCCUGCAUGGGAAGUUCAAGCAUUGGCGCGGUAGCAGCGGUGUGCAGGAGCAUGGAAGGUAUUUUUCUGGGUGCGUCCACUGUUGUAUUCAAGGGUAUCUCCGACCCUACAACACUUGAAGCGAUGGGAGUCAGAGAAUCGAUGGCACUAGCUGUGGAUCUCCAGUUGCAAGCGAUUCAUGUGGCGACGGACUGCAUGGAAGUGGUGAACGAUAUCAAGCAGAAGAGUAGCCCGAGCUAUGGGGCCAUUAUACAUGAAAUCAUAGAGUACUCUGGUAGUUUUAAUUUAUGUGAUUUUGUUCAUGAGUUUAGGAGCUCGAAUGUCGAAGCUCACAAUCUAGCGAAGCAUGCUUUGGGACUGGGGACCGGUCGCCAUGUCUGGUUAGGCCACCCCGGUGAUCUUUCUUUUGUCCCUGUAAACAUUGUGACGGAUUAA